This 938-nucleotide long non-coding RNA is filed under the name Marmota monax (woodchuck). Lineage: Eukaryota; Metazoa; Chordata; Mammalia; Rodentia; Sciuridae. The record is from RNAcentral.
CCUUGAUUUAGUAAGCAUGGGCCAAAUAAUCAUAGCAAUCAACAGGUUGUCACAUCAACAAAUAAUAUCAAUAAUAUUUUGCUGUGCUGCUCUCCUGUUUAAGAUCUGCAGCCCUUCACAAUCCAAAUUCGAACCUGUGGAUAUCUGACCUUUUCCUUUCUUCCCCUGUGCCUAGGAGUGUGUUAUAAAGAUGCACUGUGGAGUUAUGCUAAGUCAAGAAUGGGAAGGAGGAAGAAAAGAAUAAUGUCAAGGUUUACUCAAGCCUGAGGAGUUUAAUAUAAUGGGAAAGAAAAUGAAGUUCUGACUGACACAAGUAGAGGGAGAGACCUGUGCUGAGAAAGUACAUGUUAAGGAGAUUAUCUAAGAAAUGCUUAUAUUUGGGUCUGCUGUUCACUGAUAAGCCCGGCUGCCAUCGUACUGAAACACCGCUAUGCCAACUGGAAAUAGCUGCUGCUCUGGCUGCUGUGGCCACUUCCCUGGGACCCCAUCCCAGAGAAGGUGGGGAAGAGGCGGCUUGAGUGCUGGCUAAGAAGGUGCUGCUUCUGAGUGCCGCACUCACUUCUCCACAUAUUUCACCACCCACCGAGCGUCCUUGGCCACCCCUGAGGUAGCACAGCUGUGAUGCUGCCAUCUGCCACACACAUAGCAUAUUGAAGGUCUCCCUUGUAAUUUCAUCAUGCUGUCCAUCCUCAUGUUCCUGUCCUAGUCACCGAACCAGCCAUUCUGCCCUUUACUGCUAAUCAGCUUCAUUCCCUCCCCCAGCCCUGUGUCACCUCACUGUACUUUUGGAUUUGGUCUAAGUUAUACCUGCUCAAUUUCAACACGCAGUUACAUUCUUCCUCUGCCAACUCCUCUAUCUGCUGUCUCUUGUAGCCUGACACAUUAGAUUAGUGGUUUCUAAACUUCUUUAACUAUGUCUGUCUAGCAGGAGUAAUUUU